UUCGCAAUGCCCGAAAGGGUGACGAAGCGACGCCGCGUGCGGGAAGAAGGCCUUCGGGUUGUAAACCGCUGUCGGGAGUUAAGAAAUGCAAGGAUAUUAAUAGUGUCUUUGCUUGACUAAGGCUCCGGAGGAAGCCACGGCUAACUCUGUGCCAGCAGCCGCGGUAAUACAGAGGCGGCAAGCGUUGUUCGGAAUUAUUGGGCGUAAAGAGCACGUAGGCGGCUACGUAAGUCGGUUGUGAAAGCCUUCUGCUUAACGGAAGAACAGCAUCCGAUACUGAAUGGCUCGAGUGCGGGAGGGGAGAGUGGAACUUCUGGUGGAGCGGUGAAAUGCGUAGAUAUCAGAAGGAACACCGGCGGCGAAGGCGACUCUCUGGCCUAUUACUGACACUGAGUGUGCGAAAGUUAGGGGAGCAAACGGGAUUAGAUACCCCGGUAGUCCUAACUGUAAACGAUGGGCACUAAGUAGAGGGGUUUU
Molecule: ribosomal RNA, 477 nt
Filed under: uncultured anaerobic ammonium-oxidizing bacterium
Lineage: Bacteria
Description: bacterial SSU rRNA
Rfam family: Bacterial small subunit ribosomal RNA
Source: RNAcentral